GGGGGGGGCAAGCGUUUGUUCGGAAUUACUGGGCGUAAAGGGCGCGUAGGCGGUCCGAGAAGUUUCGGGUGAAAGCCCCGGGCUCAACCCGGGAAGGUCCCGGAAAACCAUCGGACUUGAGUGCUGGAGAGGCAAGCGGAGUUUCUGGUGUAGCGGUGAAAUGCGUAGAUAUCAGAAGGAACAUCGGAGGCGAAGGCGGCUUGCUGGACAGCAACUGACGCUGAGGCGCGAAAGCCAGGGGAGCGAACGGGAUUAGAUACCCCGGUAGUCCUGGGCCGUAAACGAUGGGUACUUGGUGUUGGCAGCGGGAAGGUUGUCAGUGUCGGCGAUAACUCGUUAAGUACCCCCCCCCGGCCUGGGGAGUACGAUCGCAAGAUUG
Molecule: ribosomal RNA, 379 nt
Filed under: uncultured organism
Description: partial 16S ribosomal RNA
Rfam family: Bacterial small subunit ribosomal RNA
Source: RNAcentral